UUUUGGACAAUGGGCGCAAGCCUGAUCCAGCAAUGCCGCGUGCAGGAAGAAGGCCUUCGGGUUGUAAACUGCUUUUGUACGGAACGACACGGUCCUGGUUAAUACCUGGGGCUAAUGACGGUACCGUAAGAAUAAGCACCGGCUAACUACGUGCCAGCAGCCGCGGUAAUACGUAGGGUGCAAGCGUUAAUCGGAAUUACUGGGCGUAAGGCGUGCGCAGGCGGUUUUGUAAGACAGGCGUGAAAUCCCCGGGCUUAACCUGGGAAUGGCGCUUGUGACUGCAAAGCUGGAGUGCGGCAGAGGGGGAUGGAAUUCCGCGUGUAGCAGUGAAAUGCGUAGAUAUGCGGAGGAACACCGAGGCGAAGGCGGUCCCCUGGCCUUCGCUACGUCAGCAGAAGG
RNAcentral lists this ribosomal RNA (399 nucleotides) under uncultured bacterium. RNAcentral's name for it is "bacterial SSU rRNA". It matches the Rfam family "Bacterial small subunit ribosomal RNA", at positions 362 to 752 of the family's 1533-position model. The record is from RNAcentral.